Molecule: RNA transcript, 2932 nt
Organism: Dreissena polymorpha
Lineage: Eukaryota; Metazoa; Mollusca; Bivalvia; Myida; Dreissenidae
Exons: 6
Source: RefSeq, a predicted model, not a curated record
UAUGGAUUAUCAACGGUCACGCCAUAAUAAACGGAUUGGCUGAGUCUAUCUGCGCACGUGUUGCUGAAAUAAAGCGCACUAACACAAAAUAAGUUUAAGGGAAUUCAGCACCUAUCUUCUUUUUAAGAUUGAAACUAAGAAUAUGGAAGCUAUCGCCGAAGGAUGAAUGUUCUGCUCUGCUGAACGUGUUUUGGGGUUGUUUGUUUCAAAUAUUAUCAAAAUCAAAAGCAAAUUCUGGGAUCUGCGGACUUCGUUUAGUACUCCUUCGAGAAAAUGAACGAAGGAAGCGUAUGCGACACACUUUCAAAUGAGUCAAAGGAAGACGCAGAUAUGCACAGUCAAUCUUGUGAGGUUCAUGAAACGGAAAAAAACUAGAUUGUAUUGCAAAACUCACACUGUUCCUAUUUGUGUGCGAUGUCUACUAUCAAGUCAUAAAGAUUGCAUAAAUGAUACGAUCGAUCUUCUAGACAUUAAACUGGACGAUCUUAAUGUCACAGAAAGCUUGUCGGCUAUUGCAGAGCUAGAAGACGAAAUAACUAAAACUGAAAAAGCCCUGGCAGAAAAUAUCAAACUGAACAAAGAUUGCCACUCAAUAAUAAAAAAUGAAAUUGAAACAUAUUUCUUAAAUUAACUGGCCAACUUCUUUUAUUGAAAAACGAAGCCGAAAACAAAGGCUCAGUUAGUCAUAAUCGUAAUGAUAGUGUACUCAAUAAUCUCGCUGUCGAAUGUGAAGACAUAAAGAUGAUGGUUGGUGAAAAGAAGAGGUUAAUCAAGGGAUUAAUAGAGAAAAAGUACCACGUCCGACUCUUUGUAGCAGUGAAGAGUAUUUUCCUGGAAACAGCAAAUAUGAAAACGAAAUUGAGAAAUAUAGAUCACAAUAAUCAUAUUGAACAAAUAUGUUUCAAGCCAAACGACGCCUUACAGAAAAUCUUGUUCAGAAAUAAUGCCGUAAUAGGAACGCUGCAAGAGACGAUCGAUGGUAGUGAGGAAUACAAUGAUGUGCAAGUGGAGGAUACUAGCAUCAAUUUGAAACCAAACCAGCCUUGUUACUCGGGCAGUCUUGCCAAAACAGAAGCCGCUGCGAUUUCAGAACGAAACUUAGAAGACCAAGAUCGGUGUGUGAUAGGUAUGGAUGAUUCUACAAAUACAAAGAAACUUGUCUGUGGCUACAUAUUCUGUACAAAUUGCAUAAACCAAUGCUAAGUUUUCAAACCAGUGUGUCCUACAUGUGGCCACUUCUGUAAAAUAAUUAAAGGUGAUGAGCCGCCAGGAACGAUGAUCAUAACGCGUGAAAGCUUGAGGCAUUGCGUCGGCUAUGAAAAUGUCGGAAAAAUAUGUAUACAUUACAGUUUUAAAGAAGGAAUACAGGCGAUUUGGCUACCCCUUUCCAACAUACCUGGUAAGAGUGACUGAAAAGCUGAAAGCUAAAGGAAUUACACUUGCCGACAUCGAUCCGAAUGAUGAACUGGAUGGAACUGUGCAUUCUUUAUAGAAUUUGGCUCUGUUGACAAUGUUAGUUGCAGUUCAUGACCAGUAUAUCUAUGUUUUAUUUCAUGGAUAAUAGUGAAGAUAUAGUGUGGAUUUAUUUUGAUCUUAAACGUGACGUGAAAUGUUAAACAGAGGUUAAUAAUGUAAGUAACUGUGUGUAUUGUAAAGGACUUGUAACAUGUAACCAAGCGAAAGUUCUGAUUCAUCACCAAGACCUUUUAGACGAAAUAUUAUAUUUUGAUUGAGAGCGAUACGUUUAUUUGACUAGUAGUUACUUUUGUCUCAAAUGUGCUACUGGCUUUACUAAAGUUAUGAAUUACUUUCACCUUUUACCUUAACCUGCAGUGAGCGUAAGCAAUUUGAAAUUAUUAGCAUAAAUAACUAUAUUUUUUUCUGCAAAAUGUUUCCUCUUUGUAAAUUAAAUGAGCCUCGCUCUGUGAGAAGGGGGUUAAAUGCAUGUGCGCAAUGUGUCGUCUCAGACUAGCUUGUGCAGUCUGCACAAGCUUAUCAGAAACGACACUUUCCACCUUAACUUGAUUUUCGCUAAGACGAUUUUCUUAAAACGAGAAGUAUCUUAAAGUAUCAUUAUCAUACAAUCGGAAAGUGUCUUCCCUUAUUAGCCCCUGCGGACUGCUAAGGCUUAUCUGGGACGACACUUUACGCACAUUUAACCCCCUUUUCACAAAGCACGGCCAACGUGUAUUAUCUAUGAAAAUCAAAUGCUUAUUCAUAUGUACGUUUAAAAAAGUAUGCAUCUAAGUAGUAUCGGACCUUCAGUUAAAUAAAAUGUUGUGUAAUAUGUAUCAACAUGUUGUUAAACUGUUUUAUUUAUAUAUUUUCAUGAAAUAUUUAUUUUGUUGAAUAGUUCUUAGUGUUUGUUGUUAAAAUCAACUUGUCUUACCACGCUUCGUACUACUAGUAUAUUGAAACAAUGAAGCAUGUUUGAAAAUUCAACUUAAAGCACUUUCUUGCUUAUAUUUUACCAGAAGACUAUAUGGCUAGUAGUGAGCAGUGUAAGUGUUGUUUACAGAAACAGUUUCGAGGGAUGUAGCUUUUAUUUGACAAUUUACUUGACAAUCGUCUUCAUUUAUGUUUACUAGUAUUAACGAUUAUGUUGACUGUAUAACUUUCAGAACUAUCAUCCAAUUAAGGAGAUAAGGACUAAUUAAUUUACUGUAAUGUUGUAUUUAACCCGUUAAACAAUGCUCGAACGAGUAUGAAUAUGGAAGAACAUGAUUCUUAAUGUUUCCAAGAAACUGCUCAAUGUUGUGACAAGCUGUCCCUUUCUAUUUUAUUUCAGGUAUAAAUCUGUUAAUCGAUGUCUGAAAAGAUAUUUUUCAAAAACUGCAAAUUUCACUCAUGUUUACAUAUAUUUGUUUAGUAUAUGUCUUUAGUGAGUAUUGUAUUUGAUAUAAGUUAUUAUAAACUAAUUUUCUUUAAAGGA